GCGUCUUUGGCGUCCGAGUUGUAAUUUGCAGAGGGCGCUUUGGCAUUUGGCAGCGGUCCAAGUUCCUUGGAACAGGACGUCACAGAGGGUGAGAAUCCCGUACGUGGUCGCUAGCCUUUACCGUGUAAAGCCCCUUCGACGAGUCGAGUUGUUUGGGAAUGCAGCUCUAAAUGGGAGGUAAAUUUCUUCUAAAGCUAAAUACUGGCCAGAGACCGAUAGCGCACAAGUAGAGUGAUCGAAAGAUGAAAAGCACUUUGGAAAGAGAGUUAAAAAGCACGUGAAAUUGUUGAAAGGGAAGCGCUUGCAGCCAGACUUGCCUGUAGUUGCUCAUCCGGGUUUCUACCCGGUGCACUCUUCUACGGGCAGGCCAGCAUCAGUUUGGGCGGUUGGAUAAAGGUCUCUGUCAUGUACCUCCCUUCGGGGAGAUCUUAUAGGGGAGACGACAUGCAACCAGCCUGGACUGAGGUCCGCGCAUCUGCUAGGAUGCUGGCGUAAUGGCUGUAAGCGGCCCGUCUUGAAACACGGACCAAGGAGUCUAACAUCUAUGCGAGUGUUUGGGUGUCAAGCCCGAGCGCGUAAUGAAAGUGAACGGAGGUGGGAACCUUUCGGGGUGCACCAUCGACCGAUCCUGAUGUCUUCGGAUGGAUUUGAGUAAGAACCAUAGCUGUUGGGACCCGAAAGAUGGUGAACUAUGCUUGAAUAGGGUGAAGCCAGAGGAAACUCCUGGUGGAGGCUCGCAGCGGUUCUGACGUGCAAAUCGAUCGUC
Molecule: ribosomal RNA, 766 nt
Filed under: Epicoccum italicum
Lineage: Eukaryota; Fungi; Ascomycota; Dothideomycetes; Pleosporales; Didymellaceae
Description: partial large subunit ribosomal RNA
Rfam family: Eukaryotic large subunit ribosomal RNA
Source: RNAcentral